Molecule: long non-coding RNA, 1105 nt
Filed under: Astyanax mexicanus (Mexican tetra)
Lineage: Eukaryota; Metazoa; Chordata; Actinopteri; Characiformes; Acestrorhamphidae
Description: lncRNA (ENSAMXG00005015973.1)
Source: RNAcentral
CGAGUGUGGCGGGGGGUCUGGAAAACAGAGGGAUGGAGAGGGAGGGCUUUGGAGCACAGAUGCCAUAGGGAAAGAGAUUGGCAUGAUACAGGCAUUGCUGGCAUUUUGGUCUGGCUGUUUACGGAGUGAAGAUCAUCCUCUAAGUGGGGUUACUGGAGAAGUGGAGCUGGAAGAGCCGUGCUUUAGCUUCCAGGAGGCCAGGGUAGAGCAGGGCGCCGGAGCUGGUAUGAGGCAAGUGCUUUGGUGAUGAUGUGAGAGAGCUGUUUGUCUGCUAUGAAUGCUCUGUUUGUUUAACUGGGGCAUUGUUUCACUGCCUGAGCUGCACUAAUGUGUUCUCUGAGCAGCCGUGGAACACUGCUUAGAACUUUGUAGGUAUCAUGAAUGGAUUGUUGAGCUGUCUUGUUGAACUGGGGUGAAAAAAACUGUAAUUACAGAAGUAAUUAUAUUAAUAAUAGGUUUAUAACAUUUUCUGACAACAGAAGCAUUAGAUAAUUAACAAAAGAUUGAGGUGCCAAAAUUGUUCUUUAAAGCAAUGUCACAGGAGAACCAACAUUAAUAGAGCUGGUUCUUAAAAAAAAAAAAAAAAAAAAAACGAUUAUUGUUAAUAAGUGUGAGUUUAAGAUAAUUUAGGCUUGUUAACACUGUGACCUUUAGAUUAGAUCAGAUUCUACAUUAUAUUGUAAUCUAACAAAUACUAAUCUUACUCUAAGAAGUCCAUCUUUUCUGCAGAUGUUACCUCCAACCUUCACCCACCACGUAUGGUCCAUCUAAUCACUGCCUGGUUUAGGUCAGUGCAAUGUGGUGGAGUUUGGUAGAUCUCCAGGAGGAAGAUUUGUGACAACUUAUAAAUAGAUAAUACAUUCUAUGAGAGCUACACGUUUUUUCUUUGUUUGAACCAUUUGGCAACCUCUAUUUUAAGAAAUGUAGGAACUUCAGGAUUUAGGUUGUAUGAAAAUAUUUAGAGAGUUUGAAUUGAAUACAAUUAUUUUAGCAUGUAAAUACAGCUCUGGAGUGUACGUAAAAUUUAAUGUUUUAUUCUAUCAACUACGGACAACAUCUUCUAAAUUUUAAAUAUUUGGUGGAAUAAAACUGGUUUUUAAUAACA